RNAcentral lists this ribosomal RNA (593 nucleotides) under Flavobacterium sp. Ri3Pt_4248. RNAcentral's name for it is "bacterial SSU rRNA". It matches the Rfam family "Bacterial small subunit ribosomal RNA", at positions 412 to 1003 of the family's 1533-position model. The record is from RNAcentral. Lineage: Bacteria; Pseudomonadati; Bacteroidota; Flavobacteriia; Flavobacteriales; Flavobacteriaceae.
GGUCCUAUGGAUAUGUAAACUGCUUUUAUACGAGAAGAAACACACCUUCGUGAAGGAAAUUGACGGUAUCGUAAGAAUAAGGAUCGGCUAACUCCGUGCCAGCAGCCGCGGUAAUACGGAGGAACCAAGCGUUAUCCGGAAUAUUGGGUUUAAAGGGUCCGUAGGCGGUCUUGUAAGUCAGUGGUGAAAGCCCAUCGCUCAACGGUGGAACGGCCAAUGAUACUGCUGGACUUGAAUUAUUAGGAAGUAACUAGAAUAUGUAGUGUAGCGGUGAAAUGCUUAGAGAUUACAUGGAAUACCAAUUGCGAAGGCAGGUUACUACUAAUGGAUUGACGCUGAUGGACGAAAGCGUGGGUAGCGAACAGGAAUAGAUACCCUGGUAGUCCACGCCGUAAACGAUGGAUACUAGCUGUUGGGGGCAACAUCAGUGGCUAAGCGAAAGUGAUAAGUAUCCCACCUGGGGAGUACGAACGCAAGAUUGAAACUCACAGGAAUUGUACGGGGGCCCGCACAAGCGGUGUGAGCACGUGGUUUAAAUCUAUGUAUACGCGAGGGAACACUACCAAGGCUUUAAUGCAUACUGACCCGAUUUU